Non-coding RNA from Podarcis lilfordi (Lilford's wall lizard), 154 nucleotides. The record is from the annotation of a GenBank genome assembly. Lineage: Eukaryota; Metazoa; Chordata; Lepidosauria; Squamata; Lacertidae.
UUGUUUUCAUGCUCUGUCCUCAGUGGAUAGAAUGAACAGCUGUUCCAUCUCUUUCCCUGUCUUUUAAAUAUUUAAAAACUGUCAGCAAAUUUUCUCCUCUACCACCACCCUUUCCUUUCCUCCAGGCUAAACAUGUCCAGUUCCUGCAAUCUGG